AUGGGGUGCAGGAUCAGGGUGGUUUCAGGGGUCAAGAAGCCAUCGACCUCGCCGGAAAAUUGCUCUUCCCUCCUCCCGGAUGCCUCGGGCGCUGCUACGCCAGGCGCCGAAUCCCUCGGCCAUCGCUGCGCCAGGGGACGGAUCCGUGCUCUCUCCCCUGCUGCUGCCAAACUCCUCCCACCGGCCGUGACUACGUGCGCGGGCGUCAGGGAGGUUCAUACCACGGACAUGGCUCCCGUGCAGUGCGCCUCUGCUCUUCAAAGUUGUGGAGACGCGCAUGACAGCUCUGUCUCCCUUUUGCAGUGCACACAGCUCCUUUAUCCUCCCCCUCUCCCCUUCCCCGAUGUUCCACUAGCGACACCCGUCGAGAGAAGACGACCAUCAAAAACAAAGGAGUUGGCUGUGAUGCGGACGACGACGCAUCCCGGCACGGUUCUGCUUGGCACGCGAUGGGUUUGGGCACGUGGACGAGAUUUUGUUUACAAAAGCAGUUCAUCUCAAGUUGUGUUGCGGCUCAUUUUACUCGACCAUGCGGUUCGCUAUUCUUGA
This 549-nucleotide ribosomal RNA is filed under the name Triticum aestivum (bread wheat). RNAcentral describes it as "partial small subunit ribosomal RNA". The record is from RNAcentral. Lineage: Eukaryota; Viridiplantae; Streptophyta; Magnoliopsida; Poales; Poaceae.